CGACUGUUCUUCGUCGUGUAAAUAACUGCAGCGUGUAACCAAAAAUUUGAAACGUAUCACGACUUGAAAAUCAGUUUGUCAGUCGGCAUCGAUACGGCCGGGCCCUACACAGUUUAUAAUUGAAACUUUUGCGUAAACGACGAUUUUCGGCUUAGCGACGGACGAUUGAAGUCCACGUAUGUGCGAUAGUGAAAAUAGAAUAAGAAACAUAAGGGUAGUUUCUAUAGUUGACCCGGGUGAUUCGAAUAAACGAUGAAAAGAGAUGCGAGUCAGGGGUGUGUAAGAGCAUAGUUUUAAAAAUGGAUAAAUCACACGGAAGACG
This is a non-coding RNA of Cinara cedri, 322 nucleotides long. NCBI's taxonomy places the organism in Eukaryota, Metazoa, Arthropoda, Insecta, Hemiptera, Aphididae. The record is from the annotation of a GenBank genome assembly.